RNAcentral lists this ribosomal RNA (619 nucleotides) under Aphanocapsa cf. rivularis PSBDU-001. RNAcentral's name for it is "bacterial SSU rRNA". It matches the Rfam family "Bacterial small subunit ribosomal RNA", at positions 120 to 781 of the family's 1533-position model. Lineage: Bacteria; Bacillati; Cyanobacteriota; Cyanophyceae; Chroococcales; Microcystaceae. The record is from RNAcentral.
GGCAACUCUUCGUGGGGAACAGUUGGAACGACUGCUAAUACCCAAUGUGCCGAAAGGUGAAAGAUUUAUCGUCUGAAGAUGGGCUCGCGUCUGAUUAGCUAGAUGGUGGGGUAAGAGCCUACCAUGGCAACGAUCAGUAGCUGGUCUGAGAGGAUGAGCAGCCACACUGGGACUGAGACACGGCCCAGACUCCUACGGGAGGCAGCAGUGGGGAAUUUUCCGCAAUGGGCGAAAGCCUGACGGAGCAAUACCGCGUGAGGGAGGAAGGUCCUUGGAUUGUAAACCUCUUUUAUCAGGGAAGAAGUUCUGACGGUACCUGAUGAAUAAGCAUCGGCUAACUCCGUGCCAGCAGCCGCGGUAAUACGGAGGAUGCAAGCGUUAUCCGGAAUUAUUGGGCGUAAAGCGUCCGUAGGUGGUUAUGCAAGUCUGCCGUUAAAGAAUGGAGCUUAACUCCAUAGGAGCGGUGGAAACUGCAAGACUAGAGUACAGUAGGGGUAGCAGGAAUUCCCAGUGUAGCGGUGAAAUGCGUAGAUAUUGGGAAGAACAUCGGUGGCGAAAGCGUGCUACUGGGCUGAAACUGACACUGAGGGACGAAAGCUAGGGUAGCGAAAGGGAUUAG